AAUAAAAAGAAUUUAAAUACCAAAUUGUUUUUAAAUAGCUUCCCUUGGGGAUCCCUAACAAUAUAGGCCUCCACCAGGGAUUUAAUCCCUUAAUUAGAUGAAUUAAUUAACUUUUGAAAAUAAUCUCCAACUAAUGAGGUGCGUUGUGCAUUUCAUCUGCGUCGUUGGAAGGAAGAUAAUUUUAGCUCUUACAUUUUAGGGUUGCUACAACUCUAAUUUGUUGAGGAUUGAAUAUAAAGACUUAUCAAUUUUGUUAAUUCUGUUAGAUUUCCACAAUCCAUAAUAAUGAAGUAUGCAGAUUUUUGGAUUUGAUUGUGUUCAAGUUUUUGAACAUCAAUGUUUCGGAUCACACUCCAUGAUCCAUCAUCAGGAUGAAUGAGAAAGAGAGGGAGAUUGCAACGCUUCGCAAAGGUUUGGUUUAAAGAAGUUUCCUAUGAGCCCCAUGGAAAAAAAAAAUUCAUCAUAAAAGGCUGAAUUCAGGGUUCCAUUCUUUUUUUGGUUUUCUAGAUCUCCACUCAACAAAUGGAGGUAACAUGCAAAGAAAUUUAGCUGGAUUCAUGGUUGUGAUUAUUCUCUAAAAUUUUCUAUAAAAAACCCUUAUUCCAUAGCUUGGUUGACUGCUGGUGUGUAUGGGUGCUUUUUUUUUUUUAUGUGCACCCUUUGAAAGAGUGCAACUCUUCAUUAUUAAAGACAAGUAAUUAUUUAAAAGAGUGCAACUCUUCAUUAUUUUUGUCCUUUGAAAGGGACACACCUUUCACAAUCAGAUUUGCACUUCUGAUUUCUCAAUUAUCCCCCUUUAAAUGGGUUCUCUUCUCCCUUUUA
Long non-coding RNA from Cryptomeria japonica (Japanese cedar), 822 nucleotides. RefSeq lists it as uncharacterized. The transcript has 2 exons. The record is from RefSeq and is a predicted model, not a curated record. NCBI's taxonomy places the organism in Eukaryota, Viridiplantae, Streptophyta, Pinopsida, Cupressales, Cupressaceae.